UGAAGGCUGAAAUUCGCCUUCAUGAAGCUGGAAUUGCUAGUAAUGGCAGGUCAGCAUACUGCCGUGAAUACGUUCCCGGGCCUUGUACACACCGCCCGUCACACCAUGAGAGUUGGAAAUACCCGAAGCCUGUGAGCUAACUUAAAGAGGCAGCAGUCGAAGGUAGAGCCAAUGAUUGGGGUGAAGUCGUAACAAGGUAAC
This 201-nucleotide ribosomal RNA is filed under the name uncultured bacterium. Its description in RNAcentral is "partial 16S ribosomal RNA". It matches the Rfam family "Bacterial small subunit ribosomal RNA", at positions 1299 to 1500 of the family's 1533-position model. The record is from RNAcentral.